GCACCACGUACUUCCGUGUACCCAGCAUGCCGUUUCAGAAACAUGGCGGCUGAGUUUUCAUAACAUCGAUGCCUUUGCGGUCAGUCGUUCGCCCAUUGCACUUUUGAGAAAAUAAACAAGACAAGAGUUGUGUUGCAGUGGAUUUCACACCAUGCCGAAGUAUUACGAAGAGAAAGAGACGGAUGACAGAGCCUGUGCUGGAGUCAGAGAAGACUUUAGAGAAUGUCUCCUUCAACACAACUGCGUUGUAAAGGAGGGGAAACUGCCCAGCCAGUGUUUGAAGGAAGGCCACUGCAAAGCCCUGCAGACGUCAUUCUUUGAGUGCAAGAGGUCGAUGCUGGACACGAGGUCACGAUUCAGAGGAAGGAAAGGAUAUUGAGGAACCAAUGAAAUGCUGAUGUUGCUGUGUGGUUGAGGUUCCGGGUUGAGCAGCUGUAAAUACUUCUUGUUCACGGAGCCCUCGCAGUUUACUCGGUAGAGACGGAUCCAACUUCACCGCCAGAGCCAGGUUGGUGAGCGGCGCUGUGGCAACCAGAGACACCUGGGGAAUAAACACAGAUGUAACACGUGCAGGAAAUGUUUUUUUUUUUAAUUGAGCGUUGUCUCUAUCACACCUCUCACCUCUCCUGGGUUUUCAUUGACGAUCCUGAUCAUCGCUGACACGGCGCCCUCCUUCUGAACCAUAUCCAGACCGGGGGGGUUGGGGUCAGGAGCGUCUCCGAGCCCGUCCUGCCCAUGGAAGUGUCCCGCAUCAAUGGUGUUCCCAAGAAUCGGCUUAGCAGCACCUUUAAACACUGGAAUCUGGCACACGAGAGAAGAGUCAAUUAAUGCUUUAUUGCUGUUCUUAGUUAUCGUUACAAACUAUUAGAAUUUGGGAAAUAUGAAUAAAUAGUCAAUUCCAUGGGAUGAUAUAAAUUUAGAGACAUUUACGUAUAUUGCAAUUCUUUUAAUAAUAAAUACACUUUUUUAUAUUUUAUUGCCAUCAUACUGUUAUUUUAACAUGAGGAAGACAGUAUUUUCACCAGUCCUUUGACUUUUCCUAUUAUUUUAUCUAUGGAGACGAAAUGACGUUUCCAGAAAGUUUACUAUAUCCUGAUAUAAUGUAUUAGUUUUUCUAAAUAACAUGUAUGACUUGGCUAAAGCCCAAACAACCCUACUACUACAAGAUGAACAAUGAAAGUUUCUAAAUUAAAAUCGAAACAUUUGCAAAGGAGCACAUUUGUUCUUCAUCAAUAAAUAUCAGUUUGAAUAUU
This is an RNA transcript of Hippoglossus stenolepis (Pacific halibut), 1253 nucleotides long. It is a transcript of the gene named cytochrome c oxidase assembly factor 5, with no coding region annotated. The transcript has 4 exons. Lineage: Eukaryota; Metazoa; Chordata; Actinopteri; Pleuronectiformes; Pleuronectidae. The record is from RefSeq and is a predicted model, not a curated record.